This is a long non-coding RNA of Corvus hawaiiensis (hawaiian crow), 1364 nucleotides long. RefSeq lists it as uncharacterized. The transcript is spliced from 3 exons. NCBI's taxonomy places the organism in Eukaryota, Metazoa, Chordata, Aves, Passeriformes, Corvidae. The record is from RefSeq and is a predicted model, not a curated record.
CAUGAGAACUGAUUUGCAAACCUGAGGUAUCGGAAUCUUAAAUUAUUCUGUUUAUUAUUGAUGAAUAGAAAACCAUUGUAUUAACAUUCCCUUAUUUUUAUUUAAGAUUUAAGAUUGACUGAAAAUGAAAGUUGUUAAGCUCUUCAGAUAUGCAACAGCUUCAUUUCCCAAACAAAGAAAAACUUCAAAUUCUCGUAAAAUCUGAUGUUUUCUGCCCAGCUACAGCUUCCCCUUGGUAAUUUGCUUUCGUGUAUGACUGGAAGGUCCUGGUUUCAUGUUCCCUGUUCUCAAAGGAGUGUGUCAAAAUCCCCUUCCCAUUCUGGCCUUGUGCCACUGUUUAUCCACAGGCACUGGCAUAUGCAAUGGGUGCUGUAUUGAAUGGAGCUCCUCAUGUUUUCCCCACAAAAAGCGAUCUGCUGAUUCACCUUGAACUCCGCCCAGGGGAUGAGUGCGAUAACUUUAAUAUACUGUGCUGUCCCACAACAACAAGGACUAUAUGCAAUGGAAAGAGUAACAUGAAAGAAUGGAGAGGGAAAGACUGUGUUUCAUGAAAACAAGAACCUGCUGUGAAGACAGAUGUUCAACUACUGAAGUCGAGAGACGAUCACAGAUAGUAGAUUGCAUGCUGAGUGGUGCUGAAGGGUUGUCAGUGAAGAUACACAUGUUGAGGACUUUGAAUAGCUCUCCCUGGCUCUCUCAGUGCCAGAAGCCUCCUUUUGACAAAUCUGCAUCACAUUUGAAGGAACAGCAAGGAAAAGUACCUUACCCAGUCAAUCUCUCCUGGGACAUGUCACACUCAUGGGAAGACACAGAGUUUGUUCAUUUGAGGUGGUCAUGGCUUGAGGUUGACCUGAUGUUACCUGUGUGGUUUCUGUAGCUUUAGUCACUCAGUACAAUAAAAGGCUCACUAAAAUUUUGAAUCUUGACUGUCAGGCUGUACCUUUUCUUUCUCAAAUGAUACCAAUGCACAGAGAACAAUGCUAGAGUCACAGAAUUUCUUCUGUCCAGGGUAAAUGUUCAGUCUAGGGACAAAGUUAGGGCACAAAAUCCCCUUGUCUGUUGUAGUGAAAAAGCUUAUAUCCUUCCUACUUGCUUAAAAUUAUGAUACAGAUGUUGUGGUACUUUCCUUAGUAAUCGUAUAUAUGGUAGAUCAUUACAACAGUUUUAGGAAAAACCAAAGUUUCAAUUGCUUCUCCUAGUUUAUGUUUUUGCAGUUUCUAAAUUUUUUGAACUGGAAAUAGUUAAGUCAGCUCUCACUUUAGUUUGCAGUCUUGUCUGUGUGCUCUGCAGUAGGCACUGAGGCUGACAAACAGUUCUGAAAAACUAGAUGAGGAGAUUAAUUUGCUAAUGAUUUAUUAACAUAU